AUUGAACGCUGGCGGCAGGCCUAACACAUGCAAGUCGAACGAGCGGCGGACGGGUGAGUAAUUUCUGGGAAACUGCCUGAUGGAGGGGGAUAACUACUGGAACCGGUAGCUAAUACCGCAUACCAUCAUAUGUGCCGAGAUGGGAUUAGCUAGUGGCUGGGGUAAUGGCUCACCAAGGCGACGAUCCCUAGCUGGUCUGAGAGGAUGACCGGCCACACUGGAACUGAGACACGGCCCAGACUCCUACGGGAGGCAGCAGUGGGGAAUAGUGCGCAAUGGGCGAAAGCCUGAUCGAGCCAUGCCGCGUGAGUGAAGAAGGCCUUCGGGUUGUAAAGCACUUUUGGCGAGGAGGCGGUACUCGCAGAAGAAGCACCGGCUAACUCCGUGCCAGCAGCCGCGGUAAUUC
RNAcentral lists this ribosomal RNA (406 nucleotides) under uncultured bacterium. RNAcentral describes it as "partial 16S ribosomal RNA". It matches the Rfam family "Bacterial small subunit ribosomal RNA", at positions 30 to 526 of the family's 1533-position model. The record is from RNAcentral.